GCUAAUGAGGGAGGCCCCGCCCCCUAGCGCCGCGGGCCGCGCUUUUGUCCGGCGGGGCCGGGGAGGAUCGGAACCGGGACCGGGAUCGGAGCCGGGAUCGGAGCCGGGACCGGGACCGGGAUCGGUGCUGGCAUCGGGAUCGGCACCGGAGCCGCCCAGCGCCGGCCGGGCCCUGCCUACAGGACGCGGCGGCGAUGCUGUGACCUACAUUCGCGACAAGGAGGUCCCCAGCCCGCCGCCACCGCCGCCGGGCCAUGAAGCGACACAAGUGACAGGGCUGGGCGGCCGCGGCCAUGGCCAGCCCGGCACCAUGGCUGCGCUGGACACAAACAGAGCUGACGCGCUGGCCCGGCCAGGAGGAGGAGGAGGAGGAGGAGGAGGAGGAAGACGACUUUGAAAGGCGGAUGGACGAGGAUGGGGUGAUUGGCCUGGGGGAGGGUGCCAGGAGCCCACCGUGGGGUGACAGUGAGGACCUGGAGGAGGGGUCCCCGGCAGAGGAGGGACGCUGGCACCCGCGGCAGGACCCGGCCGAGGAGGAUGAGGAGCGGGGCAGCUCCGGGGGGGACGAGGGGCCCUGGGGGGCAGAGAGCGAUGGGGACCCCUACCCCGAGCUGUCCCCUGGGGGCUGCUGGGGCUCGGGCUCCAGCGGCAGCCCCGAAGCGGUGAGGGACGGCCGGGCUCUCUGCCAGCCCCGGGGCUGCAGCACGGACCGGGGGGACACCUCAGGGCUCUCGGACACCAGCCCUGGCCCUGGCACCCCGUCCCGCCAGCACCAGGACUGGGGCACGGCCGCGGACACCAUCGGGGGGCACAGGCAGGAGUGGAGCCCGAGAC
Molecule: long non-coding RNA, 834 nt
Organism: Lonchura striata (white-rumped munia)
Lineage: Eukaryota; Metazoa; Chordata; Aves; Passeriformes; Estrildidae
Source: Ensembl